AUAGAACCCUGUGAGUUCAAUUCAGGGAAAAUGGAACCUUUUCCAGCGAAAGGUGCUAUUUUAGGCACGUGAAGAUUUAUUUGAUUUCCAACGAACCUUUCCAAUGGCAGCCAUUCACUUCAAGCGUUCAUUGGUAAGUGACUACGAUUUUUGUCCUUCCGUGUAUUUUCUUUAUAACACCAAUGAAAAAUACCUUCAGUGGUGCUUUCCCUUUGAUAACGUGAAGUGGUGUGUUUGUUUGAGCGUCAAGGGGUGUGUCGUGUGUGUAAAUGUUGUAGUCAUUGGUUUUGAACGUCAAGGGGCGUUAACUUUGUCAACGUCAGCUCCGCAGAUGUUAGCUAGCGGAUAUAUAACUUUUGUUCACUGGCAUUAAAAAGGCUACAGAUGUCAACAUUACUGGAUACAACAGGGAGUAUCAUACAUAUUUGUUUUCGUUGUGUGUAUGAGCGUUUAUGAGGGCCAAGAUGCCACAUAUAUUUAAAUCCAUGUAAUUUCCAUAGUGUAAUGGAAUGUACAGAUACACUUUAUUGUUCUGCCACUGCCUGAUGUCUAAAGUGCUGCUAUAUGAGACCUGCUCCAUCAGUCAGUGAAAGUGAAUGUAGCCUUUGAAAGUGAAUGCACAAAAGUACCAAGAGAAUUGUGUGUAAUUGGCAAUGUCAGGAUGUCAGUUCGAAAACAGGUGGUGACAAAACAACAAAAUGCUGUCUAUAAAUACUGCACCUUGAAAUUAUUAUUUAUUUAUUUAACACCUACAUUGCAGUGAUUUAAAGUGAGUACUUUUUUGACACCCUGUAGUGCUGUGAAGUACAUUCAGAAUUUUGAGCACUUUCACAAUUUUGUGGUGUGUGUGUGUAUUCUUUCUAGGUCCCCGCAUCGGAUGUCCCAAUGCGGGGUCCACCCAUGAGGUCUGUCUGUGGCUGGAGCAGAAUUCUUUAAGCGAGGCUAAACAGAUCUUCUUUGAACAACAGAUUGAUGGGGAAACACUACUGGGACUAACAGAGCGGAUGGUAGAAAAACUGUUUCCCAUCAUGAAACACCAGGUCUUGUUUUUGAAAGAGUUGGAGAAGUUGUGCAGCACAUCAUCAGCACAAAAAUCCAAUCCAACAUGUGACACACUACCUGUAGAGUCAAAUACUCAUCAACAAGCUCAUGUGUCAUGGCCAGCACUGUAUACCCUGCCUGUUAUGCCACCAGAGCUAUAGGAAGCUCUACACAGAAAAGAUCCAUCUUUCAAAAAAAGGAUAAAUCACACUUGAGAGCAUUGUUAAUACAAGUUCUAUUUGACCACAUAACAACGUACACAUGGUACCCUAACCAUAAAAAAUACACCGAUGUUCUCGGAUGUCUGAUCACCAGAUUUCCCUUUUUGAGAGACCACAGCAGCACUGGAUAUGAUACCUUGCUGGAGUGCUUAAGGAACAAGUUUAAAAAGGAAAGGUCUCCCUUGGUGAACUUCCCAAAGGUUAUGAAGAGGAAGUUUGGGACAAAGCAACAGCGAAGUGUAGACCAUGAGUCUCUGGAGGACUCACCUGCAUAUCCGAGGGCAAAGAGACACAGGACAGAAGCAAUCCAGGCAUGUUGGGGGAGCUUGGAUCCAACACAAGAGAUUGUAGUGGAACUUGAGUGUUGGGGAGGAUGACCUGAGUUUUCAGGAACAUCUAAAUGCGAUUAAUAAUGAGCUACGCCGGCGACAGCCAGAUCUAACACAAAUCAUGGAUAGGAUGAAGCGCACUCUUUAUAAAAGGGUUAAAGUCACGGCCAAGCCAACAAGCGAAGUCAUGCAGAUGUUCCCCUUUUUUCAGAUUCCCGAACUGUUGCAUUACGAAAUGAGGCUGCGGUUCGGUCAGGACAUGGAGCUAAAUCUCCAGAAUGCCCUCACGACAAUCACGCCAAACAUCAUCAGGGCGGCUCAGCAGGGGAACCACAAGGAACAACUGACCACCUGGCUGACAGAGGCCACCACAGAUGAUCAUCUGAAGAGUGCUGCCAUCCUCAUCCUGCCAGAGCUCUUCAAAGAAAGAUCAAAGUUUUUCUACUGCUUGGAUGAGGAGCCAUGCAGCCCGUUUCCAGUCAUGGUCAUCGACAAUGCUGUGAAUCCCCUCCUAUGCUCCAACAACGUCUCGAUCAAGAUGGAUGGAGUCACUGUCACAAGUGGGGAGAUGGACAUCCCUCAUGCACUCCAAUGUCUUUUGGAAAUUUAUUUUAUUUUUGGUGUGGAGUACCCAAAGCAAAUCCGACACACCUUGAGUUUUGUGGAGCAUUAUUUUUUUUUAAAUUCAAAAUACCCCAGUUUCUAUUCCUGUCCUCAAACUGUAUAACCAAAUUUGUUCAUGAUUAUUUUUAAUUUGCAUGAUUUUACGUCUUCACAAUAAAUAUGAAGACCUUA
Molecule: long non-coding RNA, 2386 nt
Organism: Neoarius graeffei (lesser salmon catfish)
Lineage: Eukaryota; Metazoa; Chordata; Actinopteri; Siluriformes; Ariidae
Exons: 11
Source: RefSeq, a predicted model, not a curated record